UACAGAGGUCUCAAGCGUUGUUCGGAUUCAUUGGGCGUAAAGGGUGCGUAGGCGGCGCGGUAAGUCGGGUGUGAAAUCUCGGGAGCUUAACUCCGAAACUGCAUUCGAUACUGCCGUGCUUGAGGACUGGAGAGGAGACUGGAAUUUACGGUGUAGCGGUGAAAUGCGUAGAUAUCGUAAGGAAGACCAGUGGCGAAGGCGGGUCUCUGGACAGUUCCUGACGCUGAGGCACGAAGGUCAGGGGAGCAAACGGG
This 254-nucleotide ribosomal RNA is filed under the name uncultured bacterium. RNAcentral describes it as "partial 16S ribosomal RNA". It matches the Rfam family "Bacterial small subunit ribosomal RNA", at positions 524 to 776 of the family's 1533-position model. The record is from RNAcentral.